Molecule: long non-coding RNA, 3282 nt
Filed under: Pan troglodytes (chimpanzee)
Lineage: Eukaryota; Metazoa; Chordata; Mammalia; Primates; Hominidae
Description: long non-coding RNA NONPTRT013696
Source: RNAcentral
AUUUCUAGAAUAUUGGUCUAAAUCACAAAGUAUUCUUAAUAUAUGUGACAGUUCAAAUAUUUCAUCAAAUUUUCCCACAGUAAGAGAUAGUAAAACCUCUUCAUCAAAAAGUUGGAGAUCGUUCAUUUAUAUCCAAUUUACCUUUUCUUAAUGGUGAAAUCAAAUUUACAACCCAGCAAAUGAGUAAGAAUAUCUUUUAAAAAUUAAAUCUCAAUUAUUUAACCAAAAAGUCUAAUGUUCUCGUUUAUUUACUACUCCUCAUUACAAGGUUUUUACUGACUAAAGAUGAUGACAUACCUAAUGUGACUGUUUGCAUUGAUGACUCCUUAAAUAGUGUAACAUCAACCCUCAGAAUAAAAUGUCAACACAAAAAUCCAAGUGAGUGAUCCAGCUCAUUAAACUCACAGGUAAACUGAGUUUUUCUCAAAUCAAUAAGGAGCUUUUUAUUGAGAACAACUUCAUUAAGACAUUUGCAGGGCAAAUAUGCCACAUAAAUUUUAUUCUGAAUUACAAUAAAGUGCUGAAUGAUAAUUACCUGAAUCUUUUUUAGUACUUUUCACUUAUCUUAAGUUAAAAGAGCCCUUUCUGUGGCAUUAGCAAAUCUGUGAGUGAGUGAGUGAGUGAGAGAGAGAGAGAGAGAGAGAGAGAGAGAGAAAGAAAGAGUGAGAGAAGGAAAGGAAGAAAGAGAAAAGAAAAAGCUAACUUCCAGUAAGGGAACAGGAAGCACUGCAACCUUUCAUGUUUAACUGGGGUGACAAAUAAUUGAGACCAAAGUAAUCAAAGUAAUUCAUGCAAGUUAUCUUUAAAGGUAUACGUAAGCUUGAAGAAAGAAAGAACACUGUUACUGACCUUUGAUAUUAUGGCAGUAAAUUGCAUACUAAAAUACUUUAAUUAUCCUAGAUGCCUAGAUCUGGCUUGGCAAGCAUCAUGCCACUGACAUGCUUUAGCUCUUUUUGUAACUAAAAGUGAUUUGCAGUUCAAUUACUGAGUAUUUCAAUGUGACUCAUUAAGCUGUGUGAUGAACUUUGAAGUUAAAUUUAAGCAAAUUCUCUACACCUAAUCACACCAUCAGCACAAGCAGGACAAUGCUGGAGCAGCAUGAAAGGUGGGUCACUUUAAAAAGAUUCUUCCUUUUACUGCAUGAUAUAUUAAGAUGACAGACCUAAAUUUCAACUGGGUUAAUGAGUUAGAAUAGAUCUGUUUCCCAAAUGUAGCACACAAUAAUUUCAAUGGAUUAGAGAAAGAAACCUCAGAUGUGAAGAAAGUGAAGAAAAAAACAAACAAAAAAGCUUGAGCUAAAAUAGCUAACCUGCAGCUCUAAAAAUUGUCAUGCUACAGAGUACUUUCAAAAAAUUAAGUUUGUAACAAACAUAAGAAAACAGUGUUUUGAGUUGAAGUUGACCAACUGCUGCAUAGAAAAUAUGCUAACAUACAACAGUCAAGUUUAAGCCUGUGCAUAGAGAAGAUAAAGCACUUAUGGUAACUGCAAAUGGUAACGAGUCCUUAAAGUUUGUACAACCUAGUAUGGGUCCAUAAGGAAAAAACUGUAGUAGAAAUGGUUAGGACAAACAAUAAAGUAGAAACAGGGGGGAAACUUGAGAAGAGAAGAAAGAAGCAAGAAAAAAAGACUUUCAAUUGUAUAAAAUUCACAAACCAGUAAAGUAUAAAGACACCAUGGAAAAAUGGUUAACUCUGCCCCAAACACCCAACAGCAAACAAAACCAGAAUGAAUAAGCCUUUGGCAGACAAUUUUAGAAAUUUGAAUGUUACAUUUCUCAAUAAUUCACAAACAAUAUAUUAUAUGGUAUAUUUAUAUUAAAUAUUGGGAAACCAAUGUUGUAAAUUUGAUGCUUAUAAUGCUUUAGCCAAUGAGAGCACAAUGAUAUCAAUCAAGCUAAAUGAAUGCUGGUGUUAUCACAACAGUGCUCAUUUAUGAAACAACUGUUACCAAUUCGUGCUUUAACAGUGCUAAAAUACAGUCAAGUUAUCAUCUAUGAAGGGAAACAAAAGUCUCUAGCUUUUCUGGGAUAUGCCCUUUAUAAUAUAUUCUAUGAUUCACUAUGACACGAGCAGCAAGACACUGCAAUGUGGUAUGAUUUAUAGGCUGGAUUAAAUUUUUAGCUAUUUCCUUCUCAUCCAGCAAGUCACUAGCAGUUUGUUUGUGCAAGUUUGUGGCAUCAAAAUGUGCACCUGAUUUAAUAAGGAGAUUCAUGAUGUCUGGAUGGUUGUUAAGAGCAGCGAUAUGCAGGGGACUGUUGUCAUCCGAGUCUCUGACGUUCACAUCAGCACCACAUUCUAUCAGUAUUGCAGUAACUUGUAGAGAUGGAAAUUUACAAACAGGGUACCGCCCUACACAUGUAGUAUUCUUGUCCACAGCCAGAUGAAGAGGGCUGAAGUUAUUCUUUCCCCUUGGAUGCAGCUUAAGAAACCUGUAUAUAGUCUGCUUUUUGAAAUGGUCCUGUUCUAGAGUACAAGGAACUUUCUCUAACAAGCAAAUUAAGUGCAAAAUAAUAGAAAGGGCCUUAUUUAACUGCAAUGGGUCAGCUGGACACUGAGUUUGUUUGAUAGCUCGCUCUAUUUCAAGGACGCUUUUGCAAAGUAUGCCCAUAAGAUCAUCAAAUGUAACAGUAGUACCCAGCAGGCCUUUAGCCCUAUCCUGUAGCAUAAAGGAGAAUAGUUCUGCAAAAGAUAGUAAGCUGCUGGCGGUCAUUGGGCUUAAAGGAUCCAAAUUGCUCUGCUGCAUAUCCAAAGCAUACUUCCAUAGGUUGAUGCAUCGUUUGAAAUUUCCAGAGUCUGCAUAGACAGCGCCUCUAUAUCUAAUAUAGUAAGAGGUAUCAGGAUGAGAAGGACCAAGAAUACGUUCUCUGAUUAAUAGUGCCUGCAUUCUCAUCUCAUCAGGAUCAGCAAUAAGACCUUCUAGCUCUUCUGCACUGUUCACCUCCUUGGCAUAAUCAUAAGCCAUUAUUAGUGUCUGUGGCACUGGUUUACUAAUAAUAUUAGUCCUAUCACUGUACCUCAUGUUCAUUGCCUUUUUCCAGUAUUUCAAAGCCCCAAGCAGAUCUCUUUUUUUGUCUACAAAUGUAGCUCCCAGAAGCUCUAGAGCAUUAAUACGUUCUGUCUUGCUGGUCUGUGCAUGGUGUGUCAGAAAAUCCACAAUAUUUGUGUGACCAGUCACACUUGCUGAGAGAAGGGGAGUCAUUCCAUAACCAUCCUUUUCCAUCUUGGCACAAUACAUAAGAAGCAUCUUCAUGAUGUCCAAACUUCCAGAUUCUGCACAAUCAU